RNAcentral lists this ribosomal RNA (518 nucleotides) under uncultured bacterium. RNAcentral describes it as "bacterial SSU rRNA". It matches the Rfam family "Bacterial small subunit ribosomal RNA", at positions 992 to 1509 of the family's 1533-position model. The record is from RNAcentral.
AGAACUUAGCAGAGAUGCUUUGGUGCCUUCGGGAACUCUGAGACAGGUGCUGCAUGGCUGUCGUCAGCUCGUGUUGUGAAAUGUUGGGUUAAGUCCCGCAACCGAGCGCAACCCUUAUCCUUUGUUGCCAGCGGUCCGGCCGGGAACUCAAAGGAGACUGCCAGUGAUAAACUGGAGGAAGGUGGGGAUGACGUCAAGUCAUCAUGGCCCUUACGAGUAGGGCUACACACGUGCUACAAUGGCGCAUACAAAGAGAAGCGACCUCGCGAGAGCAAGCGGACCUCAUAAAGUGCGUCGUAGUCCGGAUUGGAGUCUGCAACUCGACUCCAUGAAGUCGGAAUCGCUAGUAAUCGUAGAUCAGAAUGCUACGGUGAAUACGUUCCCGGGCCUUGUACACACCGCCCGUCACACCAUGGGAGUGGGUUGCAAAAGAAGUAGGUAGCUUAACUUUCGGGAGGGCGCUUACCACUUUGUGAUUCAUGACUGGGGUGAAGUCGUAACAAGGUAGGCGUAGCGAG